RNAcentral lists this ribosomal RNA (253 nucleotides) under uncultured bacterium. RNAcentral's name for it is "partial 16S ribosomal RNA". It matches the Rfam family "Bacterial small subunit ribosomal RNA", at positions 524 to 776 of the family's 1533-position model. The record is from RNAcentral.
UACAGAGGUCCCAAGCGUUGUUCGGAUUCAUUGGGCGUAAAGGGUGCGUAGGCGGCGCGGUAAGUCGGGUGUGAAAUCUCGGGGCUUAACUCCGAAACUGCAUUCGAUACUGCCGUGCUUGAGGACUGGAGAGGAGACUGGAAUUUACGGUGUAGCGGUGAAAUGCGUAGAUAUCAGGAGGAACACCGGUGGCGAAGGCGGAUCUCUGGGCCGUAACUGACGCUGAGGAGCGAAAGCAUGGGGAGCGAACAGG